Molecule: RNA transcript, 2360 nt
Organism: Paralichthys olivaceus (Japanese flounder)
Lineage: Eukaryota; Metazoa; Chordata; Actinopteri; Pleuronectiformes; Paralichthyidae
Gene: taf1b
Gene name: TATA box binding protein (Tbp)-associated factor, RNA polymerase I, B
Source: RefSeq, a predicted model, not a curated record
AGAAGAAGAAGGAGAAGAAGAAGGAGGAAGAGGAGGAGGAGAAGAAGAAGGAGGAGGAGGAGCAGGAGGAGAAGAAGAAGAAGGAGGAAGAGGAGGAGGAGCAGACACGUGUGACAUGCGAACGAUCAGCUGGUUCCAGUCGUAAAGUUUGAACGGGUCGUUGAUCGUGAACAUGGAUGAAGAACUCACGGCCGGGUUCAGGGAGCUCUGUGCUCAGUGCUCGGCGGUGGAUUGGGGGAUUUCAGACGAGGGUCGUUUCUACUGCAGAUCCUGCCACAAUGUCAUCGAGAGAACCAAAGAGGUGGUGGACACGACCUUCACCCCCGGAUCCACCAGAGUCUCCACUAUUGGCCGAGGGACGAGACGCAGGAGACCAGAUCGUGGUCGUCAGUGGAUGAUCUGUGAAGGUUUUCAGUUCAUCCUGAGGAACCAGGCCAACGCUCUGCUCAGACUCGGAGUCUCUGCUCAGUUCAAGGACCCGGUGUUGUGUCAGCUGUGGAGACUUUACCUGCAGAAGAGUCGACAGGCGUUCACCAGCAACCCGGUGAGGAGCUCCGUGUUUAAAGUGCAACGUCCAGGAUCAGACUCAGACAGUGUAGCUAUGUCGUCUGCUGAGACGGACGGAGAGACGAAUCUGUCCAGCCCCGCCGCCUCUAACACAGCAGAGAGCUGCAGUGAUUGGUCGCAGCGUUCGGGCUCUUCAGACAUCGUCACCUACCUGACGGCCCGGCAGAGGCGCAGUCAUGGUCUGAUGAACAUGACGAAGACGUUGGCCCUGAUCCACCUCGCUCUGAUCUGGAGCCACGAGCCGCUGACGCUCAGCGACCUGCUCAGGUUGGUGAGCGAAGGUCACGUCCCGUUCAUAAACGCCUUCGAGGAACUUCCAGAAGAGAUGAAGCUCGACGGUAAAGAUGCUCUCAUCUUCAGAGUCGAGAGCGUCCCGUCCCACCGGGUCGUUCACCGCCAGGCUCAGACUCUGCUUCUGUUCCUGCAGCCUCAAACGUUUCCUCCAAUCAGCCGACAGAGUCUGCUGCACCCGGCACUGCUCAGCCUGCGCUACCUGACAGACACCAACCUGCCUGAUGAUCUCCACCCGUGGGUCUGCAGGCUGAUGGACGACGCCGGUUUGGUUGAUUUCACGUUCGACCCCACGUCUUGUCCCGUCCUGCCGCAUUACGACAUCCAGACCGCCGCCCUCAUCAUCGUCACUAUGAAGCUCAUCUUCGGCCUGGACGACCACACAGAGUGGGAUUUGUCCAACGAGUCGGGUGACCAGGACGACUCAGGAAACAUGUUUAACCUGAGGAGGUGGUUCAGAUUGACGCAGGCUGCUCUGAUCACAGCUCAGCAGAAAAGACACCACGAGGUCGCCAGGAAACAGUGGAAGGCCAAGAAACCUCUUUACCCGAGCAGAGACUCAGAGGCUGUUGUGAUGAAAAGGAAACGGACAGCAGAGCAGGUCCAGAUGUGUUUUGAAAAGCUGUCUUCUCGUCUCGUGGGGGUCCAGCGCUGCGAUCCGUCGAGCUUUACAUUCUGCUGGGGGGAUGAGGACGGAGCAGACGGUCCCAGUCUGCACCACAAGAAGCUGGACCGAGUCUUAACCCUGAAACACAACGUCCAGACUCCAGCUAACACCGCAUACUGGCACACGGCGCUCAGAGUCUGCGACCCCCAGAAGUGCAGGAGUCAUUACUCGGAGGUGGAGGCGACGCUGCCUCGGUCGUUCGUGUGGCUGCUGCAGCUCUUCUCCUUCCUGCUUAACGUGAAGCCGGCCUACCUGUACGAGGAGGUGCUGAGGGUGGAGAGACGAGUCCUCGACAGCAGACGACACCUGAGGAGGAGGGAGAGGACCACGACCACCAGGUCCGAGGACACGAUCGCCGGCUGCUGACUCCGCUCUCCUGAACAAUGCUGCUGUUUCUGUUUUAUCACCUGAAGAGCAGGCAGAGAAACGCAGUGACACAAACUCAGCAGCAGGGGGAGACUCACAGAAAAGACUCAAACAGAAUGAACAUGUUAGUUUGUUGUGCACACACAGCCCACGUGCACGCUCACGUGCACUCUGAAAGUCAAAGCUUGUAGGUUUAAAGUCUUACGAGGUGAAACUUAUCGCAGGUUUUCAGAGGACAGGAGUCGUCUGAGGACACUGGAAUCAACCAGCCGACUGUGAACGCAACACGAUGCUGUAUCCCGCCACUGAGGUGACAGGAGGUAACGCUGCUCUCUGUAGUAUCACCAUGGCAACAUGCCCAACGCUGUUAAGUUACCUAGCAACAGACAUGAACAUGGCAACGGCCAAAAUAAAAUCCCUCAAGUGUGUCUGCAGCAGAUUGAAUGUGACAGAUUUAACAUGGAGACGA